AUUGAACGCUGGCGGCAGGCCUAACACAUGCCAGUCGAGCGGAUGAAGGGAGCUUGCUCCUGGAUUCAGCGGCGGACGGGUGAGUAAUGCCUAGGAAUCUGCCUGGUAGUGGGGGAUAACGUCCGGAAACGGGCGCUAAUACCGCAUACGUCCUGAGGGAGAAAGUGGGGGAUCUUCGGACCUCACGCUAUCAGAUGAGCCUAGGUCGGAUUAGCUAGUUGGUGGGGUAAAGGCCUACCAAGGCGACGAUCCGUAACUGGUCUGAGAGGAUGAUCAGUCACACUGGAACUGAGACACGGUCCAGACUCCUACGGGAGGCAGCAGUAGGGAAUAUUGGAAAAUGGGCGAAAGCCUGAACGAGCCAUGACGCGUGUGUGAAGAAGGUAUUCGGAUUGUAAAAAACUUUAAGUUGGGAGGAAGGGAAGUAAGAUAAUACCUUGCUGUUUUGACGUUACCAACAGAAUAAGCAACGGCUAACUACGUG
This 484-nucleotide ribosomal RNA is filed under the name uncultured bacterium. RNAcentral's name for it is "partial 16S ribosomal RNA". It matches the Rfam family "Bacterial small subunit ribosomal RNA", at positions 30 to 507 of the family's 1533-position model. The record is from RNAcentral.